GACGAACGCUGGCGGCGUGCUUAACACAUGCAAGUCAAACGGAAAGGCCCCUUUGGGGGUACUCGAGUGGCGAACGGGUGAGUAACACGUGAGUAACCUGCCCUUGACUUCGGGAUAACUUCAGGAAACUGGGGCUAAUACCGGAUAGGAAUCCUUGCUGCAUGGGGGGGGUUGGAAAGCUUCGGCGGUUUUGGAUGGACUCGCGGCUUAUCAGCUUGUUGGUGGGGUAGUGGCUUACCAAGGCUUUGACGGGUAGCGGGCCUGAGAGGGCGACCGGCCACAUUGGGACUGAGAUACGGCCCAGACGCCUACUGGUGGCAGCAGUGGGGAAUAUUGCACAAUGGGCGGCAGCCUGAUGCAGCAAGGCCGCGUGCGGGAUGACGGCCUUCGGGUUGUAAACCGCUUUCAGCAGGGGCGAAGCUUGUGGUGACGGUACCUGCAGAAGAAGCACCGGCUAACUACGUG
RNAcentral lists this ribosomal RNA (465 nucleotides) under uncultured bacterium. Its description in RNAcentral is "partial 16S ribosomal RNA". It matches the Rfam family "Bacterial small subunit ribosomal RNA", at positions 28 to 507 of the family's 1533-position model. The record is from RNAcentral.